AGCCAAUGCAUGGGCUGCAUGCAUGCGAAGUACGUCACACGCGCAGCUAUCUAUCAGAGUAUCUAUCAGGCGCAUAUGAAGCCACUUGGGAGGUUCUUGCCACAGUAGUUGAUAAUGAGGCUGAGCUUGACAGGGAUGUCGACGGUGAUGCCGAGCACGUUGGCCUUGAUGGCGGUGCAGAGGCAGACGGCGGCCUCCAAGUCGGCGAGGCCGCCGAGGAUGCUGCAGCACGGCUCGGCGGGCGGGUGGCCGACCUCGGCGCUGACGAGGCCCAGCACGUUGGCGCACGCAGCGAACUUAAGCGCGUGCUUGGGGCACUUGCCACCGGUUGAAGGCGACGGCGGCGUCGGGGUUGGCGGCGUUGGCGUCGGGCAGCCGCCGCCGCAGGCGUUGGCCACCGUGAAGAGGACCAGGUUGAGGGCCACGAGGAAGAAGGCCUUGGACGAUGCCAUGGAGGCUGAAAAAAACCCAACAGCACUGCGCAGAGCAGAGGGAUGCUUGCGGACUGGACUGGUGGGCUAGGGAUAGGAGGAGCGCUG
RNAcentral lists this unclassified non-coding RNA (539 nucleotides) under Zea mays. Its description in RNAcentral is "misc RNA Zm00001eb249810". Lineage: Eukaryota; Viridiplantae; Streptophyta; Magnoliopsida; Poales; Poaceae. The record is from RNAcentral.